RNAcentral lists this ribosomal RNA (418 nucleotides) under uncultured bacterium. RNAcentral describes it as "bacterial SSU rRNA". It matches the Rfam family "Bacterial small subunit ribosomal RNA", at positions 355 to 771 of the family's 1533-position model. The record is from RNAcentral.
UGGGGAAUCUUGCGCAAUGGGGGAAACCCUGACGCAGCCAUGCCGCGUGCAGGAAGACGGCGUUCUGCGUUGUAAACUGCUUUUAUACGGGAAGAAAAGGCCCAUGCGUGGGACAUUGACGGUACCGUAUGAAUAAGCACCGGCUAACUCCGUGCCAGCAGCCGCGGUAAUACGGAGGGUGCAAGCGUUGUCCGGAUUUAUUGGGUUUAAAGGGUGCGUAGGCGGCCGUAUAAGUCAGCGGUGAAAGUUUCCGGCUCAACCGGGAAAUUGCCGUUGAUACUGUACGGCUUGAGUGCCGAUGGGGUACAUGGAAUUUAUGGUGUAGCGGUGAAAUGCAUAGAUACCAUAAGGAACACCGAUAGCGAAGGCAUUGUACUGAUCGGCAACUGACGCUGAGGCACGAAAGCGUGGGUAGCGA